RNAcentral lists this non-coding RNA (92 nucleotides) under Pseudomonas jessenii. The record is from RNAcentral. Lineage: Bacteria; Pseudomonadati; Pseudomonadota; Gammaproteobacteria; Pseudomonadales; Pseudomonadaceae.
UUAUAUGGUGGCCAUGCGUGGGGCUCUUUCGGGAGCGCCGGGGUUUACUCGCUUAGACCGGUCUACCAACCUGCGUAAUGGUCACCACCCUC